CAAGAUAUAACAGUUUUACAAAAUUGUUAAAUGUAAACUUUUAGUUAUUUAUUGUACAGUAGAAUGCUUCUGCUACAUAAAUAUGGGCUGUUUUUGACAAUGCAAUGCACAUAUAUCGGGUAUUACCACCAUUAAGUCAUGCUAAAUUACUGAAAUCUUCACAAUUCUAGCAUUUUAGUUAAAUUUUAGACGGUUUUCGUGUGAAACGAAAGUGGCCGCAUUCGUGUUCAUCCUUUAUAUUAAAAUGUAUGUUGUAUUUUAUGAUAAUAC
RNAcentral lists this long non-coding RNA (270 nucleotides) under Mytilus galloprovincialis (Mediterranean mussel). The record is from RNAcentral. Lineage: Eukaryota; Metazoa; Mollusca; Bivalvia; Mytilida; Mytilidae.